RNAcentral lists this small nuclear RNA (24 nucleotides) under Arabidopsis thaliana (thale cress). RNAcentral describes it as "snRNA_04966". Lineage: Eukaryota; Viridiplantae; Streptophyta; Magnoliopsida; Brassicales; Brassicaceae. The record is from RNAcentral.
GGCAAAAAUCCCUACACUAUUUAC